GUUGUAGCUCAGUGGUAGAGCGCAUGCCUAGCAUUUGUGAGGCACUGGGUUCAAUUCUCAGCACCACA
Molecule: transfer RNA, 68 nt
Filed under: Marmota monax (woodchuck)
Lineage: Eukaryota; Metazoa; Chordata; Mammalia; Rodentia; Sciuridae
Description: tRNA.Ala
Rfam family: tRNA (bases 3-63)
About the family: Transfer RNA (tRNA) molecules are approximately 80 nucleotides in length.
Source: RNAcentral